RNAcentral lists this ribosomal RNA (1353 nucleotides) under uncultured marine eukaryote. RNAcentral describes it as "SSU rRNA". It matches the Rfam family "Eukaryotic small subunit ribosomal RNA", at positions 411 to 1779 of the family's 1831-position model. The record is from RNAcentral.
CACUUACAAAGAGGCAGCAGGCGCGCAAAUUACCCAAUCCUGACUCAGGGAGGUAGUGACAAGAAAUAACAAUAAACCGGCUUAUGCCGGUUUAAUUGGAAUGAGUACAAUUUAAACAUCUUAACGAGGAACAAUUGGAGGGCAAGUCUGGUGCCAGCAGCCGCGGUAAUUCCAGCUCCAAUAGCGUAUACUAAAGUUGUUGCAGUUAAAAAGCUCGUAGUUGGAUUUCUGUGGGGACGGAGCGGCCGGCCGCACAUCGCGGUUCGAGCUAGCGCUUUCCCUACAUCCUGCCGCGAACCGUGCUACCAUUAGUUUGGUGGCGCCGGGGAUCGGCUCGAUUACUUUGAGAAAAAUAGAGUGUUCAAAGCAGGCCACAUGCCUUGAAUAAGUUAGCAUGGAAUAAUAACUAAGGACUUCGGUUCUAUUUUGUUGGUGUUCGGGGCUGAAGUAAUGAUUGAUAGGGACAAUUGGGGCGGUCUGUAUUCCAAAGCGAGAGGUGAAAUUCUUAGACCUUCGGAAGACAAACAGCUGCGAAAGCGUUCCGCAAGGAUGUUCCCUUUGAUCAAGAACGAGAGCUGGGGGAUCGAAGACGAUCAGAUACCGUCGUAGUCUCAACUAUAAACUAUACCAGCUAGGGAUCGGCCAACGUUAUUUUAUACCGACUUGGUCGGCACCUUAUGAGAAAUCAAAGCAUCUGGGUUCCGGGGGGAGUAUGGUCGCAAGGCUGAAACUUAAAGGAAUUGACGGAAGGGCACCACCAGCCGUGGAGCCUGUGGCUUAAUUUGACUCAACACGGGAAAACUUACCAGGUCCAGACAUAGUAAGGAUUGACAGAUUGAUAGCUCUUUCUUGAUUCUGUGGGUGGUGGUGCAUGGCCGUUCUUAGUUGGUGGAGUGAUUUGUCUGGUUAAUUCCGUUAACGAACGAGACCCCAGCCUGCUAAAUAGCGCGCGUGAGCUUUGCUCGCGGCGAGCUUCUUAGAGGGACUAUGAUGCGCGAUAGCACAUGGAAGUUUGGGGCAAUAACAGGUCUGUGAUGCCCUUAGAUGUUCUGGGCCGCACACGGGCUACACUGGCGCCUGCAACGAGCAUAUCAGCUGGCCCGAGGGGGUCUUGGCUAAUCUUUUGAACCGGCGCCGUGCUUGGGAUUGACCUUUGCAAUUGUUGGUCAUGCAACGAGGAAUGCCUUGUAAACGCGAGUCAUCAGCUCGCAUUGAAUACGUCCCUGCCCUUUGUACACACCGCCCGUCGCUCCUACCGAUGAAUGUUCCGAUGAAAUUUUCGGAGAGCACCUGUGAACUUGGCUCCGCCUUGCGAACGGGAGGCUCAAAGUCACAUAAAUCUGAACAUAAGGG